Molecule: non-coding RNA, 68 nt
Filed under: Stygamoeba regulata
Lineage: Eukaryota; Discosea; Stygamoebida
Source: RNAcentral
CACACACACAUCUUCACACACACAUCUUCACACACACAACAAACACACACAACAAACACACCUACCUA